Molecule: long non-coding RNA, 199 nt
Filed under: Lathyrus oleraceus (garden pea)
Lineage: Eukaryota; Viridiplantae; Streptophyta; Magnoliopsida; Fabales; Fabaceae
Description: Pisum sativum (pea) long non-coding RNA (PSAT_LNC002247)
Source: RNAcentral
UUUGAUUAACCUGCAAAAUGAUUUUGAGUAUAAAAGAGAUUUCAGAAUUCAAACAAGGCAAAUCAUUAUGCAGAUGAAAAGAUUGAUUUUAUUCUCUUUUUUAGGGUUUUAUGUUGAUCACCAAUUUCAUGCGAAAAGCAAAAAAUGAAAAAUAAUUUGAAAAAUAAACCUUUAACAUGCGAUUAUUGAAUGAAUAUCA